Molecule: ribosomal RNA, 440 nt
Filed under: uncultured bacterium
Lineage: Bacteria
Description: partial 16S ribosomal RNA
Rfam family: Bacterial small subunit ribosomal RNA
Source: RNAcentral
CCUACGGGAGGCUGCAGUGGGGAAUAUUGCACAAUGGGAGAAACCCUGAUGCAGCGACGCCGCGUGAGUGAAGAAGUAUUUCGGUAUGUAAAGCUCUAUCAGCAGGGAAGAAAAUGACGGUACCUGAUUAAGAAGCCCCGGCUAACGACGUGCCAGCAGCCGCGGUAAUACGUAGGGGGCAAGCGUUAGCCGGAUUUACUGGGUGGAAAGGGAGCGUAGACGGCAGCACAAGUCUGGAGUGAAAUGCCGGGGCUUAACCCCGGAACUGCUUUGGAAACUGUGCAGCUAGAGUGCAGGAGAGGUAAGUGGAAUUCCUAGUGUAGCGGUGAAAUGCGUAGAUAUUAGGAGGAACACCAGUGGCGAAGGCGGCUUACUGGACUGUAACUGACGUUGAGGCGCGAAAGCGUGGGGAGCAAACAGGAUUAGAUACCCUGGUAGUC